GGUUGUAAAGCACUUUAAGCGAGGAGGAGGCUACUAGUAUUAAUACUACUGGAUAGUGGACGUUACUCGCAGAAUAAGCACCGGCUAACUCUGUGCCAGCAGCCGCGGUAAUACAGAGGGUGCGAGCGUUAAUCGGAUUUACUGGGCGUAAAGCGUGCGUAGGCGGCUUUUUAAGUCGGAUGUGAAAUCCCCGAGCUUAACUUGGGAAUUGCAUUCGAUACUGGGAAGCUAGAGUAUGGGAGAGGAUGGUAGAAUUCCAGGUGUAGCGGUGAAAUGCGUAGAGAUCUGGAGGAAUACCGAUGGCGAAGGCAGCCAUCUGGCCUAAUACUGACGCUGAGGUACGAAAGCAUGGGGAGCAAACAGGAUUAGAUACCCUGGUAGUCCAUGCCGUAAACGAUGUCUACUAGCCGUUGGGGCCUUUGAGGCUUUAGUGGCGCAGCUAACGCGAUAAGUAGACCGCCUGGGGAGUACGGUCGCAAGACUAAAACUCAAAUGAAUUGACGGGGGCCCGCACAAGCGGUGGAGCAUGUGGUUUAAUUCGAUGCAACGCGAAGAACCUUACCUGGUCUUGACAUACUAGAA
RNAcentral lists this ribosomal RNA (582 nucleotides) under Acinetobacter gyllenbergii. Its description in RNAcentral is "bacterial SSU rRNA". It matches the Rfam family "Bacterial small subunit ribosomal RNA", at positions 421 to 994 of the family's 1533-position model. The record is from RNAcentral. Lineage: Bacteria; Pseudomonadati; Pseudomonadota; Gammaproteobacteria; Moraxellales; Moraxellaceae.